GUGGCUGUGGCUCAGUGGUAGAGUACCUGCCUAGUAAGUAUGAGGCACUGGGUCCGACCCUCAGCACCACA
RNAcentral lists this transfer RNA (71 nucleotides) under Ictidomys tridecemlineatus (thirteen-lined ground squirrel). RNAcentral describes it as "Spermophilus tridecemlineatus (thirteen-lined ground squirrel) tRNA". It matches the Rfam family "tRNA". Rfam says of the family: Transfer RNA (tRNA) molecules are approximately 80 nucleotides in length. Their secondary structure includes four short double-helical elements and three loops (D, anti-codon, and T loops). The record is from Rfam by way of RNAcentral. Lineage: Eukaryota; Metazoa; Chordata; Mammalia; Rodentia; Sciuridae.